UACGAAGGGGGCUAGCGUUGCUCGGAAUCACUGGGCGUAAAGGGUGCGUAGGCGGGUCUUUAAGUCAGGGGUGAAAUCCUGGAGCUCAACUCCAGAACUGCCUUUGAUACUGAGGAUCUUGAGUUCGGGAGAGGUGAGUGGAACUGCGAGUGUAGAGGUGAAAUUCGUAGAUAUUCGCAAGAACACCAGUGGCGAAGGCGGCUCACUGGCCCGAUACUGACGCUGAGGCACAAAAGCGUGGGGAGCAAACAGG
RNAcentral lists this ribosomal RNA (253 nucleotides) under uncultured bacterium. Its description in RNAcentral is "partial 16S ribosomal RNA". It matches the Rfam family "Bacterial small subunit ribosomal RNA", at positions 524 to 776 of the family's 1533-position model. The record is from RNAcentral.